GAUGAACGCUGGCGGCGUGCCUAAUACAUGCAAGUCGAGCGAACAGACGAGGAGCUUGCUCCUCUGACGUUAGCGGCGGACGGGUGAGUAACACGUGGAUAACCUACCUAUAAGACUGGGAUAACUUCGGGAAACCGGAGCUAAUACCGGAUAAUAUUUUGAACCGCAUGGUUCAAUAGUGAAAGACGGUUUUGCUGUCACUUAUAGAUGGAUCCGCGCUGCAUUAGCUAGUUGGUAAGGUAACGGCUUACCAAGGCAACGAUGCGUAGCCGACCUGAGAGGGUGAUCGGCCACACUGGAACUGAGACACGGUCCAGACUCCUAAGGGAGGCAGCAGUAGGGAAUCUUCCGCAAAGGGCGAAAGCCUGACGGAGCAACGCCGCGUGAGUGAUGAAGGUCUUCGGAUCGUAAAACUCUGUUAUUAGGGAAGAACAAAUGUGUAAGUAACUAUGCACGUCUUGACGGUACCUAAUCAGAAAGCCACGGCUAACUACGUG
Molecule: ribosomal RNA, 497 nt
Filed under: uncultured bacterium
Lineage: Bacteria
Description: partial 16S ribosomal RNA
Rfam family: Bacterial small subunit ribosomal RNA
Source: RNAcentral